This 253-nucleotide ribosomal RNA is filed under the name uncultured bacterium. RNAcentral describes it as "partial 16S ribosomal RNA". It matches the Rfam family "Bacterial small subunit ribosomal RNA", at positions 524 to 776 of the family's 1533-position model. The record is from RNAcentral.
UACGGUGGAUGCAAGCGUUAUCCGGAAUGAUUGGGCGUAAAGCGUCCGCAGGUGGCUGUGUAAGUCUGCUGUUAAAGAGUGAGGCUCAACCUCAUAAGAGCAGUGGAAACUACAUGGCUAGAGUGCGUUCGGGGCAGAGGGAAUUCCUGGUGUAGCGGUGAAAUGCGUAGAGAUCAGGAAGAACACCGGUGGCGAAAGCGCCUUGCUGGGUCUGCACUGACACUGAGGGACGAAAGCUAGGGGAGCGAAAGGG